This 468-nucleotide ribosomal RNA is filed under the name uncultured bacterium. RNAcentral's name for it is "partial 16S ribosomal RNA". It matches the Rfam family "Bacterial small subunit ribosomal RNA", at positions 28 to 507 of the family's 1533-position model. The record is from RNAcentral.
GACGAACGCUGGCGGCGUGCUUAACACAUGCAAGUCGAACGGAAAGGCCCUGCUUUUGUGGGGUGCUCGAGUGGCGAACGGGUGAGUAACACGUGAGUAACCUGCCCUUGACUUUGGGAUAACUUCAGGCAACUGGGGCUAAUACCGGAUAGGAGCUCCUGCUGCAUGGUGGGGGUUGGAAAGUUUCGGCGGUUGGGGAUGGACUCGCGGCUUAUCAGCUUGUUGGUGGGGUAGUGGCUUACCAAGGCUUUGACGGGUAGCCGGCCUGAGAGGGUGACCGGCCACGUUGGGACUGGAAUACGGCCCAGACUCCAACGGGAGGCGGCAGUGGGGAAUAUUGCACUAUGGGCGGAAGCCUGAUGCAGCAACGCCGCGUGCGGGAUGACGGCCUUCGGGUUGUAAUCCGCUUUCGCCUGUGACGAAGCGUGAGUGACGGUAAUGGGUAAAGAAGCACCGGCUAACUACGUG